AGAAUGGAGCUGGAAGAAGUCCACUUCCUGUGACAUUUCUCAAUCUUGGCUUCAGAACAGAGUCACCAUGCCUCGGGUUCCCAGAGGCAUCGAAGGUCUCUGCAUUUGCACACCCUCUGACUGUGUCUCAGUUCUUAGAGAAGCCUUACAGGCCACGUGACAAGAGGAGAGAGGCUGCCUAGUGUCACUUCUGUGGCCUGCCAUCAAAUGCAGCAAUGCAGAAACCUCAGGACUUCAGGAUGCAACCAGUCAUACCAAGUUUCUCUGCCGUCUGCACCAUCACUGGUUGCCUGUGGUAUUCUUGUCCACAGAAGAAGGCAUCAGUUUGCUUUUCAUGUAUCCAAUUCUACCCCUGGAUAUUUUUGUCCCCUUUAGUUGUCACGAGUUUCAGGACAAAUGCUGCAGAAAACUAACUUUUAAAUGCAUCACACUGACAGUUGACAGACACCAAACAGAACAGGCUACCCAAGUAACAUCCCAAAACCGACAGCACACC
Mus musculus (house mouse) is the source of this 496-nucleotide long non-coding RNA. RefSeq annotates it as predicted gene, 52900. The record is from RefSeq and is a predicted model, not a curated record. The transcript is spliced from 3 exons. Lineage: Eukaryota; Metazoa; Chordata; Mammalia; Rodentia; Muridae.